AGAAGGAACACUUCGGCAACUCAAAUACACCGCUUUCCUACAUCUUCUAGAUUAGAAUAAACGCCGCUUUAUUGCCUCAUUAUCUUCCGUUAGAAUGCUUGUCUGUCGCUUCUUCUUCUUCUUCAACGAUCUCUUCGCGCCCAAGGUAGAUUCAUUUUACUGCCUCAUUGUCUGCCAUUACAGUUUUCCCUUCGCUGCUGCUGCUUCUUCUUCUACGGCGAUCUCUCUGCCUCCCAAGCCACUUCUGCUGCAAUAGCAUGAUCAACAAUGUCCGAUUUGAAUGUACAAAGGCCACCCUCAUUAUGAUGUAAUUACCAAAACCUACACGAGAUCAAAAAAUAUCAAUGAGACGAUUUUACCGUUUUCACGAUACAAUAAAAACUUAAUGAGAUGCGCACUCCUACAAGUUGGUGGACCAUUGCAGCGGUAUUGUGGACUAUUACAAGACAAUAUAGGAAGAGAACUUUCGUUAUUUUCGGAAUACUAAAAAAUAGAGUUAGAGCCCGUUUGGAUAGACUUAAAAAAAGUAACUUUUAUGUAUAAAGUGCUGAAAGUUAUUUUUAUAAAUAAGCAGUUGAGUGUUUGGAUAAAAGUGCUUAUGAUGUGAAUUUUAGGGUUAAAAGAAUAAAAAAAUGUAGUUUGAGAAUUUAGUUAAAAUAUAAAGGAUAUAAAAGUAAUUUCCAUGGUCAAAGAAAAUGACUUUAAGCACUUUGAAAAAAAAAGUUAGAAAUCCUAACUUUUCAUUUCUGACUGACUUUAAGAACUUUAUGGCUUAAAGUCAGCAUUUAGGCAAACACGUCCAAAAGCUAAAAACCAACUUAAAGCCAAUCCAAACGGGCUCUUAAUCUUUUGUCUAGAUUGAUGGAUGCUAUUGUCCAAUUGUCCUCUUCAUGUAUAACAGGCCAUUAUGGGAGGAUCUCUUCAGUUCAUUGUUGGAGAGAACGAUGCUAAAUUUAAGAACAUUGCUCAAAAGAUGCGUGAAACAAUGAGCCAAAGCACAGAGACUACGAACGUUCCAGAAAUUGUUGAAAUUCCAUAUUCUGGUCCUGCUGCACAUAUAGAGAAUCUUCUCACUGUGAUCAAUAAGUCAGUUUAUCAGAGAAGUUGAGUUCAAAUCAUAAUCAAGUUCAUUUUCAACAUUUAUCACUCACUUGAAAGAACAAACAAUAUUAGAUCGAAGAAAUAUUUUCAUGGUUACUAUGGCUUCAAUUGGAGUCUGGUUCUUUCUCCUGUCAUAUUUAUCCACAACUAGCAUCGUCUCUCCGGAGCAAGCAAUGUCAAUAAUGUAAACUUCGCUUCCUGGAAGAUAGACUUGGAGCGUACUGCUGUCUGGAAAGAGCGUCAUGGGCUCAUAUGGCUGAUGAAUAUUCAGAUCAGAGAUAGAAGAGUAUAACAUUAUCAACAAUAUGUAGGUGCACUGGAUAUUUAGAUUGUUCUUUACACCGUCCACGUUUUGUUUGUUUGUUGAAUCUAUUGAUAAGAUUUUGUAAGAAAAAAAUAAAAAUUGUACGAAUACAUCACA
Long non-coding RNA from Solanum dulcamara, 1522 nucleotides. RefSeq lists it as uncharacterized. Lineage: Eukaryota; Viridiplantae; Streptophyta; Magnoliopsida; Solanales; Solanaceae. The record is from RefSeq and is a predicted model, not a curated record. The transcript is spliced from 3 exons.